RNAcentral lists this unclassified non-coding RNA (384 nucleotides) under soil metagenome. RNAcentral's name for it is "partial contains 5.8S ribosomal RNA, internal transcribed spacer 2, and large subunit ribosomal RNA". The stretch from base 1 to 120 matches the Rfam family "5.8S ribosomal RNA", at positions 35 to 154 of the family's 154-position model. The record is from RNAcentral.
GAUGAAGAACGUAGCGAAAUGCGAUAAGUAAUGUGAAUUGCAGAAUUCAGUGAAUCAUCGAAUCUUUGAACGCACCUUGCACCAUUUGGCAUUCCGAAGGGUAUGCUCGUUUGAGUGUCAUUGUACUCUCACUCUCCCGAUGCUUUUGGAUCGGGAGUGGUGGACUUGGGUGUUGCUGCUUUGCUGUGGCUCGCCUCAAAUGGAGUAGUGCAACUCUUGGUUGGACAUAGUACGGCGUGAUAAGUGUCUUCGCCGGCGCCUCAUUAUAGAGGGUGGCCGAUCGGGAGCUCUGUGCUUCAAACCGUCUUCGGACAACAUCUGACAACUUGACCUCAAAUCGAGUAGGACUACCCGCUGAACUUAAGCAUAUCAAUAAGCGGAGGA